UACGAAGGGGGCUAGCGUUGUUCGGAAUCACUGGGCGUAAAGCGCACGUAGGCGGAUUGUUAAGUGAGGGGUGAAAUCCCAGGGCUCAACCCUGGAACUGCCUCUCAUACUGGCAAUCUCGAGUUCGAGAGAGGUAAGUGGAAUUCCGAGUGUAGAGGUGAAAUUCGUAGAUAUUCGGAGGAACACCAGUGGCGAAGGCGCUUACUGGAUCGAUACUGACGCUGAGGUGCGAAAGCGUGGGGAGCAAACAGGAUUAGAUACCCCCGUAGUCC
Molecule: ribosomal RNA, 272 nt
Filed under: uncultured bacterium
Lineage: Bacteria
Description: partial 16S ribosomal RNA
Rfam family: Bacterial small subunit ribosomal RNA
Source: RNAcentral